Linepithema humile (Argentine ant) is the source of this 489-nucleotide non-coding RNA. Lineage: Eukaryota; Metazoa; Arthropoda; Insecta; Hymenoptera; Formicidae. The record is from RefSeq and is a predicted model, not a curated record.
UAUCAAGAAAUAAAAUGGAAACAUUUAAAACUGGCGGUGGACCUGCAAAUAUACAACCACUUACUUUUGCUGAAGAAAUUCUUUUAUCUUUUUUACCGUCCACUAUUCAAGGAUUGCCUUCCGUUUUUGAUUCUGAUAGAAUAUUAGCAGAUAAACAAAUGUGUGUGUGUGUCAAAACGCAAAACCUCUUUAGCAGAAACAGUUGUUAUAAAAGACAAUAUAAAUGAUGAAUCUCAAACUCAAGAUACUGAUGAUCAAUUUGAAUGGAUAUAUGAAACACUUAAUGUAGAUGAAGUUAAUGAUGAAGAUAAAACAGAAAACGCAGCCUAUUUCAGUGAUGUAGAAGAUGAUACAAAAUAUACAAAUAAAAAGCGAUUACCUUUAGAAGACGUUUUUAAUACACAUUCAAGCGCACAUGUAAAAAAAAUAAAACAUACGAUAUUGAUGAUAAUAAUAUAAAAAGCGUACUUGAUUUAAAAAAUAGUGAAA